Molecule: ribosomal RNA, 305 nt
Filed under: uncultured bacterium
Lineage: Bacteria
Description: bacterial SSU rRNA
Rfam family: Bacterial small subunit ribosomal RNA
Source: RNAcentral
ACCUACGGGGCGCAGCAGUGGGGAAUAUUGCACAAUGGGGGAAACCCUGAUGCAGCGACGCCGCGUGAGUGAAGAAGUAUUUCGGUAUGUAAAGCUCUAUCAGCAGGGAAGAAAAUGACGGUACCUGACUAAGAAGCCCCGGCUAACUACGUGCCAGCAGCCGCGGUAAUACGUAGGGGGCAAGCGUUAUCCGGAUUUACUGGGUGUAAAGGGAGCGUAGGCGGCAAGGUAAGCCAGAAGUGAAAGCCCGGGGCUCAACCCCGGGACUGCAUUGGAAACUACCGAACUAGAGUGUCGGAGAGGUA